GCCGAGGCUAGAGUCACGUCUAGAUAUUGCCAAUUAUCUCGGUGUGCUAUAGUACUCGAACAGUAAUAACUGACCUUUAUUCACUGGCUGUCCUCUUCAUAGUACAGUCAGUCACCAGGUUAGUAACAGAA
Molecule: small nucleolar RNA, 131 nt
Organism: Elgaria multicarinata webbii
Lineage: Eukaryota; Metazoa; Chordata; Lepidosauria; Squamata; Anguidae
Product: small nucleolar RNA SNORA3/SNORA45 family
Exons: 1
Source: RefSeq, a predicted model, not a curated record